AGAGUUUGAUCAUGGCUCAGGAUGAACGCUGGCGGCGUGCUUAACACAUGCAAGUCGAACGAACCUUCGGGUUAGUGGCGGACGGGUGAGUAACGCGUGAGAAUCUGCCCUCAGGAGGGGGAUAACAGCUGGAAACGGCUGCUAAUACCCCAUAUGCCGCGAGGUGAAAUGAAUUUCGCCUGAGGAUGAGCUUGCGUCUGAUUAGCUUGUUGGUAAGGUAAAAGCUUACCAAGGCGACGAUCAGUAUCUGGUUUGAGAGGACGAUCAGACACACUGGAACUGAGACACGGUCCAGACUCCUACGGGAGGCAGCAGUGGGGAAUUUUCCGCAAUGGGCGAAAGCCUGACGGAGCAAUACCGCGUGAGGGAAGACUGCCUAUGGGUUGUAAACCUCUUUUUUCAGGGAGGAACAAAAUGACGUGUACCUGAAGA
RNAcentral lists this ribosomal RNA (432 nucleotides) under uncultured bacterium. RNAcentral's name for it is "bacterial SSU rRNA". It matches the Rfam family "Bacterial small subunit ribosomal RNA", at positions 8 to 485 of the family's 1533-position model. The record is from RNAcentral.